RNAcentral lists this ribosomal RNA (253 nucleotides) under uncultured bacterium. Its description in RNAcentral is "partial 16S ribosomal RNA". It matches the Rfam family "Bacterial small subunit ribosomal RNA", at positions 524 to 776 of the family's 1533-position model. The record is from RNAcentral.
UACAGAGGUCUCAAGCGUUGUUCGGAUUCAUUGGGCGUAAAGGGUGCGUAGGCGGCGCGGUAAGUCGGGUGUGAAAUCUUGGAGCUUAACUCCGAAACUGCAUUCGAUACUGCCGUGCUUGAGGACUGGAGAGGAGACUGGAAUUUACGGUGUAGCGGUGAAAUGCGUAGAUAUCGUAAGGAAGACCAGUGGCGAAGGCGGGUCUCUGGGCCGAGACUGACGCUGAGGCGCGAAAGCGUGGGGAGCAAACAGG